UGAAACUUCGGCAGAGCACUACGCCUCGACCUUACGUCGGAUCGUCGUCAAACUUGAAGGGAUUGGAGGUCUCUCCUGGCCGACUAAGGAGUAGGUGUUACUUUGAGGAGGCGGGCUUCCAUCACAUGUGCGGCCAGCCCACGCGCGCACGUGCGUCAGCCCCGGGUCACCAUCUGUACGCAAGAGCUUUUUCCGAGUCAGAUGGCUUUCUGGCAGUGACUUGAAAAAGGUUGCCCUUUUUGGCUGCCCUACUCUUGAAAGAAAAACCAUUUUUGCGGCAAAGGGUCUACGAACUUUCUUCAACAUCGAGGAAGAUAUCGUGUGCCGACCAUGUAAAUUGAAGAGCUCAUGCAAGUUCGUGAACCAAAGAGUAGUGAAAAAGGAGAACGUUAAUUUAGUGGACGCAUUGAGGCUCGUUACUGUGUACGCCUCAGACUCGCUGCCCCAGCAGCUGAUAGUAACUGAUGAUUUAAAGCUUUCUAUCAACAAAUUGCUGAAGGAGGUGGUCAAUCUCAGCAAAU
Long non-coding RNA from Magnolia sinica, 521 nucleotides. RefSeq lists it as uncharacterized. Lineage: Eukaryota; Viridiplantae; Streptophyta; Magnoliopsida; Magnoliales; Magnoliaceae. The transcript has 3 exons. The record is from RefSeq and is a predicted model, not a curated record.